RNAcentral lists this unclassified non-coding RNA (245 nucleotides) under plant metagenome. Its description in RNAcentral is "partial contains small subunit ribosomal RNA and internal transcribed spacer 1". The stretch from base 1 to 46 matches the Rfam family "Eukaryotic small subunit ribosomal RNA", at positions 1786 to 1831 of the family's 1831-position model. The record is from RNAcentral.
AAGUCGUAACAAGGUUUCCGUAGGUGAACCUGCGGAAGGAUCAUUAAAUACAGUAGAUUUCUACUGAUCGGGGGGUGGGAAGAUCCAGUUUCGAUUACUGGACCAGCCGAGUAAAGCCCCCUGCUCUGCACCCUUGCUCUUUUGCUGUACUCAUGUUUCCUUUGGCUGGGCGUUGCCUGCCGAAUGGACAACUCUAAAACCCUUUUAAUUUUUAAUCAGCGUCUGAACAAUUAUAAUAAUUACAA